GUGUCAGCAGCCGCGGUAAUACGGAGGGGGUUAGCGUUGUUCGGAAUUACUGGGCGUAAAGCGCACGUAGGCGGACUGGAAAGUUGGGGGUGAAAUCCCGGGGCUCAACCUCGGAACUGCCUCCAAAACUACUAGUCUAGAGUUCGAGAGAGGUGAGUGGAAUUCCGAGUGUAGAGGUGAAAUUCGUAGAUAUUCGGAGGAACACCAGUGGCGAAGGCGGCUCACUGGCUCGAUACUGACGCUGAGGUGCGAAAGUGUGGGGAGCAAACAGGAUUAGAUACCCUGGUAGUCCACACCGUAAACGAUGAAUGCCAGUCGUCGGCAAGCAUGCUUGUCGGUGACACACCUAACGGAUUAAGCAUUCCGCCUGGGGAGUACGGUCGCAAGAUUAAAACUUAAAUGAAUUGACGGGG
RNAcentral lists this ribosomal RNA (413 nucleotides) under uncultured bacterium. Its description in RNAcentral is "bacterial SSU rRNA". It matches the Rfam family "Bacterial small subunit ribosomal RNA", at positions 505 to 918 of the family's 1533-position model. The record is from RNAcentral.